Molecule: ribosomal RNA, 253 nt
Filed under: uncultured bacterium
Lineage: Bacteria
Description: partial 16S ribosomal RNA
Rfam family: Bacterial small subunit ribosomal RNA
Source: RNAcentral
UACGUAGGUGGCAAGCGUUGUCCGGAUUUAUUGGGCUUAAAGGGUGCGUAGGCGGCCUUGUAAGUCAGUGGUGAAAUACUCCAGCUUAACUGGAGGGGUGCCAAUGAUACUGCAGGGCUUGAGUACAGAUGAGGUAGGCGGAAUUGACGGUGUAGCGGUGAAAUGCAUAGAUAUCGUCAAGAACACCGAUAGCGAAGGCAGCUUACUGGGCUGUAACUGACGCUGAGGCACGAAAGUGUGGGGAUCAAACAGG